RNAcentral lists this ribosomal RNA (775 nucleotides) under uncultured Neocallimastigales. RNAcentral's name for it is "partial large subunit ribosomal RNA". It matches the Rfam family "Eukaryotic large subunit ribosomal RNA", at positions 23 to 620 of the family's 3401-position model. Lineage: Eukaryota; Fungi; Neocallimastigomycota; Neocallimastigomycetes; Neocallimastigales. The record is from RNAcentral.
AGAGAGAGACAUGCGCGCAUAUCAAUAAGCGGAGGAAAAGAAACUAACUAGGAUUCCCUCAGUAACGGCGAGUGAAGCGGGAAGAGCUCAAAUUUGAAAUCUUCAAGGUUUUACCUUGACGAAUUGUAGUUUAAAGAAGUGUUUUCUGCUGAAGUUUUGGUAAAAGUUCUUUGGAAUAGGACAUCAUAGAGGGUGAGAAUCCCGUAUUUGACCAUUAUUUUCAGCUUUGUGAUACACUUUCAAAGAGUCGGAUUGUUUGGGAAUGCAGUCCAAAAUGGGUGGUAAAUUUCAUCUAAAGCUAAAUAUUGGCGAGAGACCGAUAGCGAACAAGUACCGUGAGGGAAAGAUGAAAAGAACUUUGAAAAGAGAGUUAAACAGUACGUGAAAUUGUCAAAAGGGAAGCGUUUGACACCAGUGUUGUUUUCUCGAAAAUCAAUUAAAAACUGGCUCGAUUUUGUAUUGUUGAGACCUUAAAAGCUCACUGUACAUUUUUCGUGUCUUUUUUAAUGCACUUUUCGUUUAACAAGUCAACAUCAGUUUCUUUUGUUGUAAAAGGGUCAUUGGAAGGUGGCUUUCUUUUCGGAGAAAGUGUUUAUAGCCUUUGGCCUCUGCAAUCGGAGAGACUGAGGUCUGCAGCGUAGACUCUUCGGGGUUAGAUACAUUUGUGCUAAGUUAUAGCUUUUUAUAGACAACUUGUUGACUAUAAUUAGUCUUGUAGCUUACUCGCUUAUGCUAUUUUACCUACGCUUAGGAUGUUGAAGAUGUAGCACAUCAU